UACAGAGGGGGCAAGCGUUGUUCGGAAUUACUGGGCGUAAAGGGCGCGUAGGCGGCCUUCUAAGUCGAACGUGAAAUCCCCGGGCUCAACCCGGGAACUGCGUCCAAUACUGGAAGGCUUGAAUCCGGAGAGGGAUGUGGAAUUCCAGGUGUAGCGGUGAAAUGCGUAGAUAUCUGGAGGAACACCGGUGGCGAAGGCGACAUCCUGGACCGGUAUUGACGCUGAGGCGCGAAAGCCAGGGGAGCAAACGGG
This 252-nucleotide ribosomal RNA is filed under the name uncultured bacterium. RNAcentral describes it as "partial 16S ribosomal RNA". It matches the Rfam family "Bacterial small subunit ribosomal RNA", at positions 524 to 776 of the family's 1533-position model. The record is from RNAcentral.